AAAACAGCUAAAUAGAAUUACGAAUUUUUGAAGAAGCCUGUACAAUAAGAUUAAGAUAUACAUCUGUUCUUCGUUAUGCUUUGACGAGUAAACAUGACAUGACAUGUCAAAUUGUAAGUUUCAUAGAGUAAAUUUUUCCAGUCCGCCUUUCUUAAAUAAUAAAUUGUUUCUUUUCGAUUUUGAUCAGAUACAAAUUACUUAUUUUAACUUCGGAGAUUGCUUAAAACUUGCAUAUAUAUAGAUAUUUGAUACUGUGGUUUUGCCAAAUCUGUAUUCAAAACCUUUUUGAAAAAAUGCUAUUCGUUGAACAUUUGAAUGCGUAGUACACUUGUGCCCACGAAACCCACAAAAAAUUGGUAUCCAACGAAUAAUAAUGAAUCUACAGUAUGUACCUUUGUGUUGAUUAAAUGAUAAACAUAUGGAAUUUUUAUAGAAAAUCCACAGGCGUUUCCCUAGUACUCUCAUAAUUUGCAAUUCGGUGAUUUAUAGCUAGAGGAUUAUUGCAUGCAAUGAUUUCAUAAAAAAAAUACAUUUAUGAAUUUGGCUAUUAGUUAAAACAACUAUAAAUGUGGACCAAAACAAGUACACCUGCUCGGGUGACCUCGACUUUAGUGACUCAGCAUUUUUUUUUUUUUAAGUUUUAAGGUUGAUAGGUCUUUUGUAAACACUAAACGCUGGCACAUUAUUGAAAAGUAAGUGAGCAAUCUAUAUUUAUAACUUUAUAAUAACAAUCUCUGUAUUAAAGUCUGUAGAUUUUCUUCAAGAAUCAUGGUUUUAUUUGCCACAAAAUACCAUUUUCCCUAAUAAAUGCAAUGGAUAAGUACGUAAUAAUGCUUUGUACGAAGUUUACCCUUGGUAUAU
RNAcentral lists this long non-coding RNA (861 nucleotides) under Mytilus galloprovincialis (Mediterranean mussel). The record is from RNAcentral. Lineage: Eukaryota; Metazoa; Mollusca; Bivalvia; Mytilida; Mytilidae.